UUCGAACUCCUACGGGAGGCAGCAGUGGGGAAUAUUGGACAAUGGACCAAGAGUCUGAUCCAGCAAUUCUGUGUGCACGAUGACGUUUUUCGGAAUGUAAAGUGCUUUCAGUUGGGAAGAAAAAAAUGACGGUACCAACAGAAGAAGUGGCGGCUAAAUACGUGCCAGCAGCCGCGGUAAUACGGAUGUCACAAGCGUUAUCCGGAUUUAUUGGGUGUAAAGCGCGUCUAGGUGGUUAUGUAAGUCUGAUGUGAAAAUGCAGGGCUCAACUCUGUAUUGCGUUGGAAACUGCAUGACUAGAGUACUGUAGAGGUAAGCGGAACUACAAGUGUAGAGGUGAAAUUCGUAGAUAUUUGUAGGAAUGCCGAUGGGGAAGCCAGCUUACUGGACAGAUACUGACGCUAAAGCGCGAAAGCGUGGGUAGCAAACAGGAUUAGAUACCCUAGUAGUCCUAUC
Molecule: ribosomal RNA, 456 nt
Filed under: uncultured bacterium
Lineage: Bacteria
Description: bacterial SSU rRNA
Rfam family: Bacterial small subunit ribosomal RNA
Source: RNAcentral